UGGAGGAAAGCAGGGGAUCGUAAGACCUUGCGCUUUUGGAGCGGCCGAUGUCUGAUUAGCUAGUUGGUGGGGUAAUGGCCUACCAAAGCUUCGAUCAGUAGCUGGUCUGAGAGGACAGCCAGCCACACUGGGACUGAGGCACGGCCCAGACUCCUACGGGAGGCAGCAGUGGGGAAUUUUGGACAAUGGGCGCAAGCCUGAUCCAGCCAUGCCGCGUGAGUGAAGAAGGCCUUCGGGUUGUAAAGCUCUUUCAGCCGGGAAGAAAAGGCUGCGAUUAAUAAUCGCAGUUCAUGACGGUACCGGAAGAAGAAGCACCGGCUAACUACGUGCCAGCAGCCGCGGUAAUACGUAGGGUGCGAGCGUUAAUCGGAAUUACUGGGCGUAAAGGGUGCGCAGGCGGUUUUGUAAGUCAGAUGUGA
Molecule: ribosomal RNA, 419 nt
Filed under: uncultured ammonia-oxidizing beta proteobacterium
Lineage: Bacteria; Pseudomonadati; Pseudomonadota; Betaproteobacteria
Description: bacterial SSU rRNA
Rfam family: Bacterial small subunit ribosomal RNA
Source: RNAcentral